This 4606-nucleotide long non-coding RNA is filed under the name Equus asinus (donkey). RNAcentral describes it as "lncRNA (ENSEASG00005035212.1)". The record is from RNAcentral. Lineage: Eukaryota; Metazoa; Chordata; Mammalia; Perissodactyla; Equidae.
GAUUUUUUUUCCAUUUAAAAUUCAUAUUCUAAAGAAGGCUAAAUUGUCAUAAUAUCUAAGGGAAAAAUUGUAUUCACCACCAGGGAACGAAGCAAAGUUAUUGCCUACCUUCUUUGAAAGGCAUUUUUUUUUAACCUAUCCUGUCAGGAGACACCCAGUAGAAUAUAUUACGAUGUUGCUUUUUCCUGACCAUAAUAAUACACCUCUACAGAGGUGAGUAAAAAUAGAAACUUGACUUAAUGGAUAUCAAAUAACUUUUUCUGGCUACUCCUGAGCCAGAUUACUGCUGUUUAUAAUACCACAAAUUAAAGGCAUGCAAUUAUCCAACCAAAACAGUGUGGAUAUUUCACCAUUUUUAAAGACUGACUACCACAUAGCCAUUGCCCAGCAGACUCUAGCCAAAAACCACAGUGUGGAUCCACAAAUAAAGCUGUCAACCUUUGCAUUUCAAAGGCAUCUUUCUUAGAGAGCUCAGCAUGCUCUGGGCAGAAGUGAAACAGGCUUGGUGAAUAGCAAGGAGCCUGCCCACUGGAUGAGCUCAUGGGCCAGCGGUGGAAUCUGUCUGCGUCUCAGCACUGUGGCUAGGUAAUCCAGAUUUCUUUUCAUUGCGGGGGAUGUGUGAGAAUUGAUGCCCUAUUUGAAGAAAACCAGCCACUGUCCACACCGAGGGUCCUCCCUCCCUGGAAGCCCCCAAAUACAUAGGAAACAGGGUAAGACAUGCUAAGGAAAUUCAGUUCAAACACUUGCACACAACACUACAAAGGUGGAGAUCUUACAAGAAUACCGUGGAUAAAGUUUCUGCCCUACGGAAUUGUCACUGUAAAUAUCCUACCUAAAUAGAUGCACCCCAAAGAGAUUCACAGCACAGACCCAGCUGCACGUCGGUUCAACUGUCCUUCUCCUAUUCUGUAACGUUAAGAACAAAGGUCAGUGUCAUACUUUCUCUUAUCUGCUUCAUCUCUCACACUGAUACAGACUGUGGGCUGAAGAAAGAAGCAAAAGAAUUGUCUCUCACUUCCUCCCUCCACGUACCAAACCCGGGGCUCACUGAAGCGCAUUAUUUCUGGACAUAACCCUAAGUCAGUCAUUCAGGGAGAGAAGCCGCAUCCGAACAGCUGUUCUCUUGCCUACAGAACAACUUCCAGGCCAUAGCAGAGGGGUUCUGGUUCAACUUCCUUGUAGGUGACCAUAUAAUGAGGAACAACAGGGCGGUGAAUAGGAAUGAUGUGGGAGGAAGAUUUAUUCCAAUCUGCACCACUGUGAGACUCAUGAAGGAGAAUGAGAUCUAUUGACUUCUUUUGAAUCAAGAUAUGGAGGGAAAGCCCAAGGCAAUGCUAUGAAAUAGGUGAAAAGGCCUUUGGUCCCUUGCUCCUAUAGCCGGUGCUGUGUAACCAACAGGGACUCUCAUCAGUCUGUUCCACACACAAUCCUUCCCUUCUUCCCUCUCCGGGCAACUGACCCGCAGACAGGUGGCCACCAGGCUGCUCUGAGCCAGUGUGUUCCGGGAGUUAAUGGGCUAGUAACCAGCUCGUCAGGGUGACAUACUGUGUUUCAGUGGAGGCUUUGUGUAGUACGGUUUCUUAAAGGAGUGAGAGGUGGAAUUUCGGACUCCUUGGCAGACCUGUGGGAGAGAUUUGGGGGGUGGAGGGGAGAGUCUUAGUAAUAUUUCAUUCCUGCCAGGUAGGCCACCACCUACCACACCUAUAGGUAAGGGGGGUUCACCUAAUCUUGGUGCCAAGCAUGGAACUUUUCAUUUCAAGGCACUCUCUGCACUUGCUUGAUCACUUGUUUUUCAAUCUGCAACUUAAAAGUUGAAUGAAAAGUAUUAUGAACCAUUGCAUUUUCAUGUUGAAACCAUCUAAAGAUGGCAAAUAUCUCUACUCUUAGAAAAAGUCCCUACUUUGACUAACCCAUGGGUGGAGAAGGAGAAAAUUACUAUUUGCUUUUGCUUAGAAAUGUGAGCCUGUUUGGAUCUCUCAGGUUUCCAUAAAACUGACAAAUCAGAAAAUGAGUUAGCUGUAGGAGAUAAGGUAUUCUGUGUAUAAAUAUUUAGGGGCGCGAUGUGAGCACUAUGCUAGAAUUUCAAAAAUGGUUAAAAUCAUGAUGGCAAAUUCUCAACUGCUGUGAAAACAAACAAGAUACAGCUUGCUGAAUGGGAAAUGAACAAUCUUUAAAUGCUGUGUUAUUCGAGAAUGCUGCCCUAGUGCAUUGUACUUACUUAAAAUGAGCCAGUAACAAAGAAUCACAGAAUGUUAAAGCCAGAAGCUGCCUUAAACUUCAUCUAAUAUUACAUCCUCAUGAGAAACCUGAGACCCAGAGGGUCCCCAAAAGUUGAUUUGUAAGUUGCUUAUUUGGAACUUGGAGCAUUUUCUCAUAGAAAUAAUGUGAUAAAUGAUGGUUAGAGCCCAAAAAACCUCGCCCCCCCGCCACCUUAUUACACAGUACUGUAUGCUUGGACACUAUUGUUUUCUGUCUUCACUGCAAGUGUACACCAUUAACCUACAUUCCUGGUUAAUAUGAGCAGUUGACAUAACAUCACGUCAGAAGGAAGACACAGCCCCUAGAAAUGGGCCAUCUGAUGCCUAGAUACAAAACACCUCCAACUCUCUGUAAAGGUUAGAAUAUUUUUGGUUCCAAGACACCAAAACUCUUCUCUAAGUAGAUUGAACAAUGAGGACGUUCAUGUGUUUGUGUAAAUGGAAGUUAGAGUGGGGCGAGCUGCAGAGUUGGGUUAACCCAGGAUCUCCGGCUCCGUUUCUCUGCCACUCCCUUCUACGUGCUUUACCCAUUUGUUGAUUUCAUCUUUAGGUCACUUCUCUCAGGUGGCAAAAGGACUGUGGUGGUUCUUGUACAUCCUGUAAUGGCAUCCAGAAGAAGAGAGAGAAAACCGUGGCCACAGGAUUCCAAUCAGGAAUCCUGAGGAUCACCUUGAUUGGAUCCCAUAAGUCAUAUGCCCACCCCUGAACCAAUAGCCUUAGCUUGAGAGUGGAAUGGGCUGAGUCAGUUAAGCCAACCAAGCAUUAGGGGUGAGAUCAUCUCCCCUCAAAGUAUGGGUGAUGAUGUAAACUAAAAGGAAAAUGUGGGUCCACUGAGAUGUGUGAAGGGGAGAAAAUGGAUAGAAACCAACAAUAUCCACUAAACCAUCUUUCCCUGUUGACCCCAGCCCCAGCCCCUGAGGGAAGGUAUUAUGUGGCAUGGUGGAGCUAAGGAAGCUGGAUUAGCAGGGGCAGGCACACAAGUGUAGAUCAGAAGGAGGAAGUGGAAAUGUUCUACUUCUGUUCACUCCAUCCUAGAGCACACGCUACCUCCAUCCUCUAGAAGCCCCAGACCAUGUAUUCCCACUCUGUGUCUCAAGUCCUAACUACUGAGACCUUCACUCCAGCUUAGAACUUUUGGAUCUGCAACCACUACUAGAAAGGAAAAUAUCAAAAGAAAAAUAUACCUUUUCUUGCAUCAUUUAGAAGUGCCUACAUGUCUUCUGUUUCCUUUCUAUCCCACUUCCUUGUCGAAGGGAAACUUAAAGGCCCUAGAAAUAUGACUCAUUCUUUGUCCCCUGACAAAAUCGCUUUGGUACCCACUGAUUUCCCAGCAUGCUUUGGGAUGAAACUAUGGUGGCUUUGAAUCCACUUUUGAUGAUCUGCCUUUAGUCACUCACGCAUUGAGAACUGCAAGGUUAACCGUGAGGUUAUCUAAACAAAUGUACAAAGAAAGUGGCAUUAACACUGCUUUCACAAUUACCCUCACAUUAAUAAAAGUACAUUUACCCAACUCUCUUCAGAGUAUCCUCUUUUUGACUAAUAGUGAUUCCAGUGUUCAUUCAUGAGCCAUCAAGCUGGAAAAUGUAAUAAAUAGACUCGUGAUUGGAAAAUAAGCUGGAAUUGGAUUCAUGACAAUCAAUGAAAACACAAAAAUAAAAUAAAGAAAGGGUCAGUUACUCAGGCUUCUCAGCAAAAUUGUCCCACAUAAAGAUUGAUUUCAAUCUCACUCCCACGGUACUCCGAAAAUCCCGUUUUCUAAAAUGGUGGUUUCCCGCUGAAAGACUGGCUCAUAGCCCAGGCCUCUAUCUCUAGAGCUUUCCACAGAGUUCCAAGUAAUGCAGGCUUUGCUUGACUGGAAGCCUGGAAAUAACAGUCCUAUUAAGGGUUAAAUUUUAAAUAGUUUAGGUAUAGUAUUGCGAUAAUAAUAACACUUUAGGUGUUCGUAGUGGCUCACGGUCAUGUGAAAUGCUGACGUAAUAAAUCGCUGCACGUGCUGUCUGCAGGAUUUGAAGGAUGUCUGCUGUGGGUGCCGAGCAGGCUUCCAGUCUGACACCUGGCCCGCACUCGCUGAGGGGGAUACACAGUGGCAGGAAAAGACAAGCACUAGAAUGGGAUUUUCUUUGUGAUAAUGGCAAAUAACUUUUUUAAGCUUGAUUUUCCUUAUGUAUUAUUUGUAAAAAUGAAGUUUUUGUUUCAGAGUGAGGCAAAUAUAUUCCUGAGUAGAAGUGAAUGUUAAUUUUUUUUUAAAGUACUCUAUCCUUUUGGCUGAUUCCUCUCCCAAAUAUUUUCUCCUCUUAACUAGCAUGAUUUUAUCUUUUAUAAAGACAAAAUAGGUUUUAAUGUUGGGC